Long non-coding RNA from Neopsephotus bourkii (Bourke's parrot), 593 nucleotides. RefSeq lists it as uncharacterized. The record is from RefSeq and is a predicted model, not a curated record. NCBI's taxonomy places the organism in Eukaryota, Metazoa, Chordata, Aves, Psittaciformes, Psittacidae. The transcript has 4 exons.
ACAACCAGCCCUUCCACCAGUCUAGUUACUAGUCACUUUUAGCCAUCAUGUGCUUGUUUUUCACCAGGAGCUCAGCUGGUGCACCAGACCACACCUCAUGCAGCAUCAAAGCUCUUGACUGUUGGGUGGUUGAAGGUUGUGCAUGGUUAUGAAAGCUGCUGUGCUUGGAGGAUCCUGUUGACUCUAGCCGCUGGGCUCCAGUCAGGGCCGCCAUCCCUCCUGACCAUUGCUAGUCCCCAGGCAGUGUGGCCGUCUGUUCUUCCUGCUGGCACUGGAGUACUUCAGCUUGAAGACAAAUGUUUGCUAUAUGACUCAUAUCAGUCUGAUAUAAUUGGCAAAACGAAGUGCAAAGAAGAGAGAAAGGUAAUUUCAAAAGUAUCAGUGGUACAUUCAGACUGAAAUCCUAUUGAUAUUUGGCCAGACCUCAGGCCCUAAGUGUCCAGGUUUUCUGAGUAAGUGGCACUUGAACAUCUAGGGUGCUUAAAUGCUCAGUACUAUUUACCUCCUUUGCUCUUGGUUCAGCUAAGAUAUUUUAUAUGUGAAAACCUAAAUCCUAAUCCAAUGCAAACUUAGUAUAGUUAAGAUGGCUUGAA